Molecule: ribosomal RNA, 468 nt
Filed under: uncultured bacterium
Lineage: Bacteria
Description: partial 16S ribosomal RNA
Rfam family: Bacterial small subunit ribosomal RNA
Source: RNAcentral
GACGAACGCUGGCGGCGUGCUUAACACAUGCAGGUCGAACGGAAAGGCCCUGCUUUUGUGGGGUGCUCGAGUGGCGAACGGGUGAGUAACACGUGAGUAACCUGCCCUUGACUUUGGGAUAACUUCAGGAAACUGGGGCUAAUACCGGAUAGGAGCUCCUGCUGCAUGGUGGGGGUUGGAAAGUUUCGGCGGCUGGGGAUGGACUCGCGGCUUAUCAGCUUGUUGGUGGGGUAGUGGCUUACCAAGGCUUUGACGGGUAGCCGGCCUGAGAGGGUGACCGGCCACAUUGGGACUGAGAUACGGCCCAGACUCCUACGGGAGGCAGCAGUGGGGAAUAUUGCACAAUGGGCGGAAGCCUGAUGCAGCAACGCCGCGUGCGGGAUGACGGCCUUCGGGUUGUAAACCGCUUUCGCCUGUGACGAAGCGUGAGUGACGGUAAUGGGUAAAGAAGCACCGGCUAACUACGUG